CGUAGGCGGAUAGUAAAAAAUUUAGUAAAAGACUGAGGAUGACCCUCUUAAAGCUAAGUUCACUAACUAUUUGAGUUCUAAAGGCGAUUUAUUGAAUUCCUUAAGUAAGGGUAAAAUUGUUGAUAUUGGAAGACAUUCGAAGGCGGAAGCGGUAAUCGAUUUAGAUCUGACGCUAGGUACUAAAGUAUGGGUAUGAAGAGGAUUAGAGACCUUGUAGUCCAUACCUUAAACAAUGAGUGUUCAACGUCCUCUUUUGGUUUUCUUUGUGUAAGUUUUAUCAAAGGUAUAGUGGUUAUAUUCACCAAUACCAAAAAAUAUUAGAUAACUUACAAUACAUAAAACUACACUUGAGGGGGUUUGAAGCUAACGCGUGAAACACCGCCUGGGGACUGUGGCCGCAAGGUUAAACUCAAAGGAAUUGACGGAGACUUGUACAAGG
This 439-nucleotide ribosomal RNA is filed under the name Didymium minus. RNAcentral describes it as "partial small subunit ribosomal RNA". It matches the Rfam family "Bacterial small subunit ribosomal RNA", at positions 570 to 930 of the family's 1533-position model. The record is from RNAcentral. Lineage: Eukaryota; Evosea; Eumycetozoa; Physariida; Didymiaceae.